RNAcentral lists this ribosomal RNA (473 nucleotides) under uncultured organism. RNAcentral's name for it is "partial 16S ribosomal RNA". It matches the Rfam family "Bacterial small subunit ribosomal RNA", at positions 335 to 799 of the family's 1533-position model. The record is from RNAcentral.
ACUCCUGCGGGAGGCAGCAGUGGGGAAUUUUGGACAAUGGGCGAAAGCCUGAUCCAGCAAUGCCGCGUGAGUGAAGAAGGCCUUCGGGUUGUAAAGCUCUUUUGUCAGGGAAGAAACGGUGAGAGCUAAUAUCUUUUGCUAAUGACGGUACCUGAAGAAUAAGCACCGGCUAACUACGUGCCAGCAGCCGCGGUAAUACGUAGGGUGCAAGCGUUAAUCGGAAUUACUGGGCGUAAAGCGUGCGCAGGCGGUUUUGUAAGUCUGAUGUGAAAUCCCCGGGCUCAACCUGGGAAUUGCAUUGGAGACUGCAAGGCUAGAAUCUGGCAGAGGGGGGUAGAAUUCCACGUGUAGCAGUGAAAUGCGUAGAUAUGUGGAGGAACACCGAUGGCGAAGGCAGCCCCCUGGGUCAAGAUUGACGCUCAUGCACGAAAGCGUGGGGAGCAAACAGGAUUAGAAACCCCGGUAGUCCCAUG